This is a long non-coding RNA of Oncorhynchus keta (chum salmon), 695 nucleotides long. RefSeq lists it as uncharacterized. The record is from RefSeq and is a predicted model, not a curated record. Lineage: Eukaryota; Metazoa; Chordata; Actinopteri; Salmoniformes; Salmonidae. The transcript is spliced from 3 exons.
UUGACAACUGAAUGGGAACUUGCCUGCCCUCACAUUUGAUCGAUUUAAAAAAAUAUAUAUAUAUUUUACCUUUAUUUAACCAGGCAAGUUAGUUAAGAACAAAUUCUUAUUUUCAAUGACGGCCUAGGAACAGCGGGUUAACUGCCUGUUCAGGGGCAGAACGACGGAUUUGUACCUUGUCAGCUCGGGGGUUUGAACUUGCAACCUUCCGGUUACUAGUCCAACGCUCUAACCAUUAGGCUACCCUGCCGCCCCUACGCUCUAACCACUAGGCUACCCUGCCGCCUCUACGCUCUAACCACUAGGCUACCCUGCCGCCCCGAUGCCAAAUACAUUUGAUUGACAACUAGGGGUGCGUUCAUAAUUGCCUCCAGUGUGUCAGAAUGCGAUCUGGGUCGUUUGUAAAUUCAGAGCGUUUCGCUGUCUCAGUGUUCUGUUAUGGAAGGUUGAGUCAACUACAACAAUGUCUGUGUUCUGUUAUGGAAGGUUGAGUCAACUACAACAAUGUCUCAGUGUUCUGUUAUGGAAGGUUGUGUCAACUACAACAAUGUCUCAGUGUUCUGUUAUGGAAGGUUGAGUCAACUACAACAAUGUCUCAGUGUUCUGUUAUGGAAGGUUGAGUCAACUACAACAAUGUCUCAGUGUUCUGUUAUGGAAGGUUGAGUCAACUACAACAAUGUCUCAGUGUUCUGUUA